CCUAGGGGUGGCAGCAGUGGGGAAUAUUGGACAAUGGGCGAAAGCCUGAUCCAGCCAUGCCGCGUGUGUGAAGAAGGCCUUCGGGUUGUAAAGCACUUUCAGUGGGGAAGAAAGCCUUGGGGCGAAUACCCUCGAGGAAGGACAUCACCCACAGAAGAAGCACCGGCUAACUCCGUGCCAGCAGCCGCGGUAAUACGGAGGGUGCGAGCGUUAAUCGGAAUUACUGGGCGUAAAGCGCGCGUAGGCGGUCUGAUAAGCCGGUUGUGAAAGCCCCGGGCUCAACCUGGGAACGGCAUCCGGAACUAUCAGGCUAGAGUGCAGGAGAGGAAGGUAGAAUUCCCGGUGUAGCGGUGAAAUGCGUAGAGAUCGGGAGGAAUACCAGUGGCGAAGGCGGUCUUCUGGACUGACACUGACGCUGAGGUGCGAAAGCGUGGGUAGCAAACAGGAUUAGAUACCCCAGUAGUC
RNAcentral lists this ribosomal RNA (465 nucleotides) under Vreelandella stevensii. RNAcentral describes it as "partial 16S ribosomal RNA". It matches the Rfam family "Bacterial small subunit ribosomal RNA", at positions 338 to 795 of the family's 1533-position model. Lineage: Bacteria; Pseudomonadati; Pseudomonadota; Gammaproteobacteria; Oceanospirillales; Halomonadaceae. The record is from RNAcentral.